UGGCCAGGCUGGCUUUGAACCGUGAUCCUCAUAUCUCAGCCUCCUGAGUAGCUAGAAUUACAGGCGUGAGCCACCAUGCCCGGCUACCAAGGCCUUCUGAAGUAAGUGCCCCCGGGUACCCAGCUCCCCUUCUCUGGCUUCAGGAACUUUGAGUCCUUCCUAGUUUAAUUAGCUCCAUGUUCCUACUGUUCACUCCACCCUCCUCCAGGUCUAUCCUAGAACUGCACCCUCUCUGUAUCCAAAUGUUUCUGUUUAGAAAGAAACUUGUUUCUAAACAAGCUAUUGUCACUGUCAAAGGCCACUUUCUUUUUCCUGUCCUUCCCUUGCCAAUAUGGGAGAUGCUACUCACACACUCAGGUCAACAUAGCCCCGGAGCUCUUCCUGUGUGCCAUGACUCAUAAUCUGGUGGUCUGUGGAUCUCUUCCUCAAGGCUGUCGACAUCUCUCCUGCUCCUGAGACCCCUGUGGGUCUGCUUUUCCCACCCAGACGCUUCCUCAUCACCAGCCAUGCUCAAAGCCAUCUUGCUACAUAGAUGCAUUUCUGUCUCACAGCUCCAGAGGCCUCUUCUGUGGGGACCCUUAGGUGACCAGCAGCCGAUCUCCCAAUUUUCUGCCUCAAGCUCCAGCCAGUUUCAUGCCCAGGAGAGCUGGAGGUUCAGCUAGUAGAUCAGUCUCAGCACACAUCAAUCCUGAUGUUCCCAAACCUGUUCCUGACUAUCAAUAUCUGGUAAAUGGAGGUACAAGGUGCCACCCCAACUCCUCUCCCCAUUUCUGUGCCUUCACUGCCAUCCACUCGCUCCAUUCUGAGCCCACUUUAUCUCCCAGUCUUGUCACCAUUGCUGCUACCUUAAUUUAGAAACUCAAAAUAUUUUGCUGGCUCUCUAUCUAGUUGUCCCUGCCUGAGGAUCUCCCAACUCUGUUCCAACCUACAGAUCACCUCAGACUCACUUGGGAAAAAAGCUCUGAUCACAAAAUUUUCUUGCUUAAAAAUCUUUUCUAGGCUCACACCUGUAAUCCUAACUACUUAGGAGGCUGGGAUCUGAGAAUUGCAGCUCAAAGCCAGCGUGGGCAGGAAAGUCUAGGUUGUGUGUGUGUGUGUGUGUGUGUGUGUGUGUGUGUGUGUGUGAGUGUGUAUCAAACUCAUACUAGGCGAGUGAUCUUCCACAGAGCGACAGUCCCAGCUCAACUUCAGAGUCUUGAGAACUGGGUAUGCUGUGGAGUAUAUGGAUAGGAAGUGUCUAGAAGGGGGCAGAGAACACAGGAAGUUCUGGGCAUAUGGCUCAAAUUCAAAGUAAGCUACACAUGGGAUAAGCUCUGAAUCAGGAGAGAGAGACAUGGGUUCAAGGUUGCUGCAUGGCCUUGGACAGGCCCCUUUCCCUGUGUGCAGUUUUCCCCACUAGUAAAAUAAAGGGACAGGUUCUCUUAACUGUGUAUAUAUUUGUUUUUCAUUAGAUGACUCCCCGGUCCCCUAAUCUAAGUAAACUUGGGCCAACUCCUUCGCUUCUCAUUUGUAAGACAGAACACUGUCACCUCUCAGGGCAGCAGCAAGGAUUAAGUGUGGUUUUGAAUGAAUUGUCUAGCAGAAGGCCAGCCAAGAAGCAAGGACUUCCUGUCUCUCACCCUCUGAGUUUCACAUUUCUUGGUAACCACCUUUCUCCUUCACCAGAUUAUGGGUUUUCUGAAGUGUGGACAAUGUUUUAUUUACUUUUGAUGUGCUUUCAUGUCUAAGUCAAGGGUUCAGCAGGACAAGCACUUAGCAAAUGUUCCUGAAAAUGGCCCGGGAGUGGCAAGAACUAGUAGCAUGUCACCAGGCCCUGUCUUUCUCCUUUCUUUCUGCUGCAGAGAAAAGCUGGUGCAGACAUAGUUGUACCCAACUAUAGACCUGGGCUCUGUUACGCUCUCACAAUGGUAUGUGCGCCACCGCAGGGCAUGGGAGCACCAGAACACACCCUCCUUUCUAUUGCCAAUAUCCUGCUUUUGUUCACUGCAAGUAGCCCUGGCCAGAUCCAGGAGAGGGAGCAGGCAGAAAAACGAGUACAGACAAGUAGGAGAUAGCUACACACCAGCCUGCUGGGAAGAACACCUGGCUGAAGAGCGACAUUACCAAGGCACACAUCUGGGUCAAGGAAUACCUUUGAAGGGCUCAAGGCCAAAGUCAAUGCCACAGGUAUCUGUGAAGAAU
This is a long non-coding RNA of Perognathus longimembris pacificus (Pacific pocket mouse), 2181 nucleotides long. RefSeq lists it as uncharacterized. NCBI's taxonomy places the organism in Eukaryota, Metazoa, Chordata, Mammalia, Rodentia, Heteromyidae. The record is from RefSeq and is a predicted model, not a curated record. The transcript has 3 exons.